CUCUAGCUUUGAAUAUACUUUGAAAUCAGGAAGCAUGGUGUCUCAAGCUUUGUUCUUCUAUCCCAAAUUGCUUUCGUUAUCUGGAGGAUUUC
Molecule: non-coding RNA, 92 nt
Organism: Ceratotherium simum simum (southern white rhinoceros)
Lineage: Eukaryota; Metazoa; Chordata; Mammalia; Perissodactyla; Rhinocerotidae
Source: RefSeq, a predicted model, not a curated record